UCAUGAAUUAAGACCUUUGACCUUCCUCCUCCUCGCCGCCGCAGUGGAGGCCAUUGACUAUUACUGCAUAGCUCGCUAAGAAGUUCUUGACGUUGCUCUCAAGGAAAUUAUUGCCCAGCUCUGGCUAGGUGGAAUGUGACCCCGUUAAGGCUGAAGGCCCAUGCGGAUCACUCGAGAACCUUUACCUCUCUGCAUCGUUCGUUCCGAACAUUGUAUAGCUAUGCAAACU
This 229-nucleotide long non-coding RNA is filed under the name Amborella trichopoda. Its description in RNAcentral is "long non-coding RNA (ATRI_LNC000825)". Lineage: Eukaryota; Viridiplantae; Streptophyta; Magnoliopsida; Amborellales; Amborellaceae. The record is from RNAcentral.